GUGUUGUGGAGAAGUCUCGUCAUGUGUUGACGACAGUGUUUUAUGUGCCCGUUUCGUGUUUCACCGCUUGCCCACGUUUUUAUUUUUCUUGGUGUGCCCACUUUCAGCGUUGUGUGGGUCUGUUCGCGUGAUUUCGUUCUGGAGAGGCAAAAGGAGAGGCGGAGCCGCUCUCGGCUUGCACAGAGCAUAGAGGAGAAGCGCUCGCUCCAACGUGCAUCGACUCGCGCUAUUCGAGUCGCCCUUCUGUGCGUGCGUUGACGGCGGGCGCCUGUCUCCCCCCUAUCUUUGUUUUCUCCAGACACUCUCUGAGGUGAGAUUCGAGUCGUUUCGUGGCGCCCGUCAUCCCUUUUCGUCAAUUUUGGGCUUCGUUGCGCCCAUUAUCUGGGUGUGUCUUCGCGUGUGCUUUUCUUUUCCGCGUCUUCAUUGCAUCAUCGUCACCACUCUAUCUUUCCACUGCCGGCUGUGGUAGUUGUGCUGUGUUGCGCGUGACUGCGGACCCCAUCCUGCCUUCCGACCUACUUCCUCUGCGGUGAACUGUUUAGCUUUCCUCUUUCAGCAAUACUGCGCAUGCGUGCUCACAUCAAUAAUUCUUUUUCGGUCUCCUCCGCCUUGUUUCUUUGGUGUGUGCGUGUGCGUGUGCCUGUAUGCGUUACAGAGAUUUCUCUCCCCGCAUCGCGUGCCUUAUUCUACCUGUAUGUUUUUUCUGCUCCCCUCCCCUCUGUCACAAGACGUCCUACUCAGCGCUAUCGUACGCCCCCUCACUCGUCUCCCUCGCUGCGCGCGCGCUUAUAUGUGUGUGUGUUUGCUUUGUGGUGUCCACCUUGGGUUUAUAUUUUUCUGCAUCUCUUUCCCCCUCGUACACCAUUGCCGUUGAGGCCGGCGACGGUCUGCCGCUUCUUCUUUUCCCUCUUUUCCUUAGUUUCUCUUUCGGUGGGCGCUCCACUGCGUUCUCUGUGUUGAAAGGCAAAUAAACAGAAAAGAAAGGGGGAAGGCAACAAAGACAAAGGCAAGACGCAGCCAUAUACGCGCCACACUCUCGAUCGCCACCCUCUCUCCAUUGUUCGCUGCUGCUGCGACGAUACACACACACACACACACACACACACUAGCACACUCACCAAAUAGUGUACAUGGGCAAUGGGCUGUGAGGUAUCUUCGAUUAAGGGGAAAGAGGCCAAGCGGGCGGCACCGAAGAAAACCAAACAGCGUAGCGGCAACGCCAAAGCGGGCCCCGAAAACGCCUCGCCUAGCAAGAUGGGGGAGACGACGCUACAGACGACAGGCGUGACGAAUCUAUCGAGCAAGGAUCCGCUCAAAACUGAUGUGCCAUGCACGUCUGACUCCUUAAUUGCGCUUAUGCCGGGGACUUGUGCGGGUGACAUGCACCAGCAACCGCCGGCGACGAACGCCGACCUCAGCCGCUCUGACUCCAUCACCAACGAGGACCUGAAUGGGUCUUUAUGCGUCGAUCUUUCUGGUAGCUUUCGCAUGCCCAACUCUAACAAAGGCGACAUUGCGUUAAAUACGAAGGCGCCGGAAGCUCGGCGUAGUCGCUCUGUUUCGCAGGUGCUGCUCAAGUCAGUGUCACCCCAUCCGAGCGAUAACGACCUCGUCCUCAUUUGCAUAGACUGCGGGAUGGAGAUUAGCGAGAACUGCGAGUCGGUACUGUGCCCGCUGACUGGGAAGGCACACGUGUAACGAGCGUGUGCGUGCGUCUGUGCCACACGGUAGAGGCGCCUGUGCACAUGUGUAUCUCUUUACAUCUGGCUAGGGGACCACUCAUCAGUAUUCCACACUUGAAAGCAAAAUGUGUGGUGUCGCGGCUCAGUGGGCCCCUUAAAUAUGCUUUUACUCCUCCGUGUGCAAGGAAGGGUGCGACUUUGCCUCAUUUCAGCGCCUCCGGCGCACUCGCGCAUGCUCAUUUCGGGGCAGUGGCGCCGUGUUUCUUCUCUCUCUGUUGUCUUCUCGCCAUGCUUGGCAUUGUGGCCGGUUGCCCGGGAGGACGCCGACGACGACAAAGGAAAGCAGAUGGACAGCCGAAACAACAAAGUUCUUCCUUUUUGUUUCGCAUGUUUCCUGAAUGCCUUCUGGCGUAUUCAUUUUUUUUACCACCUCUUCUCGGGUUGCGCCGUCGUUCUGUGUGUGCGUGUGUCCGUUCUUUUUUGCUGCUUGGAUCGACCGCGAGGCCAGGCAGCGCCCAUCCCCUUUUUUUCCCGCUUCUUGUUCUCUUUGUAGUGUCUUAUCAUCUUGUUUUCGUUGCUGUACCAGCAUUGUUUUUCACGAACUCGCUUAUAUAUAUACACACAUAUAUAUAUAUAUAUGUAUAGUGUCUCGGCGUGUGUGUAUGUGUGCUCAUAUGCUCGAUCCUGGAGGCAGUUGCUACGUAAUUCACCUUUGGAGCUGCUUUUUCGGGGUCGUGUCCAUGCACGCAUGUGCACUCGUAUUUUUGUGGAGGUGUAGCUGCGUCGCCCCUUCGAGGAUCCAUUUCUUUUGAUCCUUACUGUGGAUUCGUUUCGGUAGCUCUGCCCCUUUUCAUUUUUUUUUUUAGCACUGAAGGGCGGGAGCCGAAUGUGCAGGCGGAGGGGGGGGAACGGCGCUUUAUUUGGACAUAUCUGUACGUGGUUGCACAUGAAAUUCCCGACCCUUUCGGUCACUGCGUUGCCUGCCACUCCCUCUCCCCCUCCGCAGUUUCUUACCCCUUCACGUUUGCUUUGUUGUAGCGACUUCCUUCUCGGUCUCUCGGUGUUGCCCCCCUGUCCCUCAUUGUGUGCUUGCCUUUGGCGGCUGUCUGUGGUUUGUUGGUGGUCCUUGUGGAUGAUGGGGCCCUUGUCGACGCUCUUUUGCGCUGUGCAUAUGUGCGUGUGUGCAUGUAUGUGUGUUGCUCGUGCAUUUCUGUGUUCUUGAAUAGCCUUUGUCUUUUUUUUUUGUUCUUUUAGCAUUCUGCUUGCUGCUUAGGUGUCUUCGUGGGCCAUAGCCUGAUGCCUUCGUAUGGGCGUGCGCGGGCGAGUGUGCAGGAGGGUGUGCACGUGUGUGCAGCAACCAACCUC
Molecule: unclassified non-coding RNA, 3047 nt
Filed under: Leishmania donovani
Lineage: Eukaryota; Euglenozoa; Kinetoplastea; Trypanosomatida; Trypanosomatidae
Description: gene:LdHU3.32.0900(CDS-product:hypothetical_prote in)
Source: RNAcentral